RNAcentral lists this small nucleolar RNA (131 nucleotides) under Physeter macrocephalus (sperm whale). Lineage: Eukaryota; Metazoa; Chordata; Mammalia; Artiodactyla; Physeteridae. The record is from RNAcentral.
AGGGGGGUCUAUCCCAAUGGGGCUUUUUCUGUAAACCUACAUGGUUGGACAUGCCUCUAAGAGUAACUGUAUGGUUUCCUUUACCUGUAGAACUACCUGUUAGAUCUGUGGGGAAGAACUAUAAGCCAGAG